RNAcentral lists this unclassified non-coding RNA (185 nucleotides) under Glomus sp. RNAcentral's name for it is "partial contains 5.8S ribosomal RNA and internal transcribed spacer 2". The stretch from base 1 to 65 matches the Rfam family "5.8S ribosomal RNA", at positions 84 to 154 of the family's 154-position model. The record is from RNAcentral. Lineage: Eukaryota; Fungi; Glomeromycota; Glomeromycetes; Glomerales; Glomeraceae.
GUGAAUCAUCGAAUUUUUGAACGCAAAUUGCACUCUCUUCGGAGAGUAUGCCUGUUUGAGGGUCAGCCUAAAAAAAUUCGACAUCGUUGCUGUUUCACGGCGACAUUCGUCGGAAAUUGGGUCAUCUUAUACCUUUGGUGUUUAAGCGGCUUAAAAUUUUCUUUACGAGUCCACGAACGUCUCUU